Molecule: non-coding RNA, 28 nt
Filed under: Rattus norvegicus (Norway rat)
Lineage: Eukaryota; Metazoa; Chordata; Mammalia; Rodentia; Muridae
Source: RNAcentral
UGUUGUAAAUAAUGUUGUAUCUGUGGUC